RNAcentral lists this ribosomal RNA (503 nucleotides) under Laetacara thayeri. RNAcentral describes it as "partial 12S ribosomal RNA". It matches the Rfam family "Bacterial small subunit ribosomal RNA", at positions 794 to 1533 of the family's 1533-position model. Lineage: Eukaryota; Metazoa; Chordata; Actinopteri; Cichliformes; Cichlidae. The record is from RNAcentral.
GCCCAGCCCUAAACUUUGAUAGUAUUCUACACCCACUAUCCGCCAGGGGACUACGAGCAUUAGCUUAAAACCCAAAGGACUUGGCGGUGCUUUAGACCCCCCUAGAGGAGCCUGUUCUAGAACCGAUAAUCCCCGUUAAACCUCACCCUCUCUUGUCAUUUCCGCCUAUAUACCACCGUCGUCAGCUUACCCUGUGAAGGUACUGUAGUAAGCAAAAUUAGUAUAACCCAAAACGUCAGGUCGAGGUGUAGCAUAUGAGAGGGGAAGAAAUGGGCUACAUUCCCAGCUUUCCUGAGAACACGAACAAUGUGAUGAAACGUACAUUAGAAGGAGGAUUUAGCAGUAAGCAUGAAAAUAGAGCGUUCUGCUGAAACCGGCCCUGAAGCGCGCACACACCGCCCGUCACCCUCCCCUACUUAAUUCAGAGAUUCAACAAGUCUCAUUUGCUAAGGGGAGGCAAGUCGUAACAUGGUAAGUGUACCGGAAGAUGCACUUGGAAAAAU